GAUGAACGCUGGCGGCGUGCCUAAUACAUGCAAGUCGAGCGAACGGACGAGAAGCUUGCUUCUCUGAUGUUAGCGGCGGACGGGUGAGUAACACGUGGAUAACCUACCUAUAAGACUGGGAUAACUUCGGGAAACCGGAGCUAAUACCGGAUAAUAUUUUGAACCGCAUGGUUCAAAAGUGAAAGACGGUCUUGCUGUCACUUAUAGAUGGAUCCGCGCUGCAUUAGCUAGUUGGUAAGGUAACGGCUUACCAAAGCAACGAUGCAUAGCCGACCUGAGAGGGUGAUCGGCCACACUGGAACUGAGACACGGUCCAGACUCCUACGGGAGGCAGCAGUAGGGAAUCUUCCGCAAUGGGCGAAAGCCUGACGGAGCAACGCCGCGUGAGUGAUGAAGGUCUUCGGAUCGUAAAACUCUGUUAUUAGGGAAGAACAUAUGUGUAAGUAACUGUGCACAUCUUGACGGUACCUAAUCAGAAAGCCAUGGCUAACUACGUG
Molecule: ribosomal RNA, 497 nt
Filed under: uncultured bacterium
Lineage: Bacteria
Description: partial 16S ribosomal RNA
Rfam family: Bacterial small subunit ribosomal RNA
Source: RNAcentral